RNAcentral lists this unclassified non-coding RNA (348 nucleotides) under soil metagenome. RNAcentral's name for it is "partial contains 5.8S ribosomal RNA, internal transcribed spacer 2, and large subunit ribosomal RNA". The stretch from base 1 to 120 matches the Rfam family "5.8S ribosomal RNA", at positions 35 to 154 of the family's 154-position model. The record is from RNAcentral.
GAUGAAGAACGCAGCGAAAUGCGAUAAGUAAUGUGAAUUGCAGAAUUCAGUGAAUCAUCGAGUCUUUGAACGCACAUUGCGCCCCCUGGUAUUCCGGGGGGCAUGCCUGUCCGAGCGUCACUGCUGCCCUCAAGCACGGCUUGUGUGUUGGGCCCCCGUCCCCGGUUUCCCCCGGGGACGGGCCCGAAAGGCAGCGGCGGCACCGCGUCCGGUCCUCGAGCGUAUGGGGCUUUGUCACCCGCUCUGUAGGCCCGGCCGGCGCCAGCCGACACCCAACUUUAUUUCUAAGGUUGACCUCGGAUCAGGUAGGGAUACCCGCUGAACUUAAGCAUAUCAAUAAGCGGAGGA